GGCUACUGCUAUUGGGAUUCGACUAAGCCAUGCGAGUCAAGGUGUCUUCGGACGCCGGCGUACGGCUCAGUAACACGUAGGUAACCUACCCUCAGGACUGAGAUAACCCCGGGAAACUGGGGCUAAUAUUAGAUAGAUAAAAGAUACUGGAAUGUUCUUUUAUCCAAAGCUUUUGCGCCUGAGGAUGGGCCUGCGUCCGAUUAGGUUGUUGGUGGGGUAAUGGCCCACCAAGCCUACGAUCGGUACGGGCAGUGGGAGCUGAAGCCCGGAGUUGGGGACUGAGACAAGGCCCCAGGCCCUACGGGGCGCAGCAGGCGCGAAACCUCUGCAAUGCGGGAAACCGUGACAGGGGGAUCCCAAGUGCUCAUGCAUUGCAUGGGCUGUUCUUUGGUCUAAGUAACCAGAGGAGUAAGGGCUGGGCAAGACCGGUGCCAGCCGCCGCGGUAAUACCGGCAGCUCAAGUGGUAGCCGCGAUUAUUGGGCCUAAAGCGUUCGUAGCCGGAUAAGUAAGUCUUUGGUUAAAUCCUGCGACUUAACCGUGGGAAAUCUAGAGAUACUGCUUGUCUUGAGACCGGGAGAGGUUGGAGGUACUCCCAGGGUAGGGGUGAAAUCCUGUAAUCCUGGGGGGACCACCUGUGGCGAAGGCGUCCAACUGGAACGGGUCUGACGGUGAGGGACGAAACCUAGGGGAGCGAGCCGGAUUAGAUACCCGGGUAGUCCUAGGCGUAAAUGAUGCGAGUUAAGUGUGGGGGCAUCCACGAGAUGGCCCUGUGCUGUAGGGUAGCCGUUAAACUCGCCGCCUGGGGAGUACGGUCGCAAGGCUGAAACUUAA
This 832-nucleotide ribosomal RNA is filed under the name archaeon enrichment culture clone D22_3132. RNAcentral describes it as "bacterial SSU rRNA". It matches the Rfam family "Archaeal small subunit ribosomal RNA", at positions 22 to 859 of the family's 1478-position model. The record is from RNAcentral.